RNAcentral lists this transfer RNA (63 nucleotides) under Aureococcus anophagefferens. The record is from RNAcentral. Lineage: Eukaryota; Pelagophyceae; Pelagomonadales; Pelagomonadaceae.
AGUCGCCAAAUUGUAAAUCAUGGACACAUCUAUGUAAAUGGGAAAAAAGUAACUAUACCAAGU